Molecule: ribosomal RNA, 497 nt
Filed under: uncultured bacterium
Lineage: Bacteria
Description: partial 16S ribosomal RNA
Rfam family: Bacterial small subunit ribosomal RNA
Source: RNAcentral
GAUGAACGCUGGCGGCGUGCCUAAUACAUGCAAGUCGAACGCAUAGCGAAAGGUGCUUGCACCUUUCCAGUGAGUGGCGAAGGGGUGAGUAACACGUGAACAUCCUCCCUCAAGGCUGGGGAUAACAUGUGGAAACAGCUGCUAAUACCGAAUAAAACUUAGUGCCGCAUGACACAAAGUUAAAAUGCGCUUCUGCGUCUCCUAGAGAUGCUUCCGGGCUUCAUUAGGUAGUUGGUGGGGUAAAGGGCUAGCAAGAGAAUGCUGCAUAGCCGAGUUCAGAGACGGAUCGGCGACAUGGGGGGUGAGACACGGCCCAAACGCCUACGGGAGGCUGCAGUAGGGAAUCUGAGACAGUGGGAGAAAGUCUGAUGGAGCAAGGCCGAGUGUGUGAUAGAAGCGUUCGGGUCGUAAAGCAGUGUUGUAGGGUGAAAACAGCUAGAGUAGGUGAUGAUGUUAGUUUGACGGUAACGGAUCAGAAAGGGACGGCUAAAUACGUG